CCUCUAGAAGGAAGCACUUUCUGUUGUUUGAAAGAAAAGAAAGUGCAUCAUUUUAGAGGAU
RNAcentral lists this microRNA precursor (61 nucleotides) under Macaca mulatta (Rhesus monkey). RNAcentral's name for it is "Mml-Mir-430-P42_pre stem-loop". It matches the Rfam family "mir-515 microRNA precursor family", at positions 15 to 75 of the family's 87-position model. The record is from RNAcentral. Lineage: Eukaryota; Metazoa; Chordata; Mammalia; Primates; Cercopithecidae.